Molecule: ribosomal RNA, 519 nt
Filed under: uncultured Glomus
Lineage: Eukaryota; Fungi; Glomeromycota; Glomeromycetes; Glomerales; Glomeraceae
Description: SSU rRNA
Rfam family: Eukaryotic small subunit ribosomal RNA
Source: RNAcentral
AGCAGCCGCGGUAAUUCCAGCUCCAAUAGCGUAUAUUAAAGUUGCUGCAGUUAAAAAGCUCGUAGUUGAAUUUCGGGACUAAUAUGUCGGUCGUGCCUCGGUACGUACUGGCUUAUUGGUUUCUCCUUUCUGAAGAACCAUGAUGUCAUUUAUUUGGUGUCGUGGGGAAUCAGGACUGUUACUUUGAAAAAAUUAGAGUGUUUAAAGCAGGCUCACGCUUGAAUACAUUAGCAUGGAAUAAUGAAAUAGGACGUUUGAUUCUAUUUUGUUGGUUUCUAGGAUCGACGUAAUGAUUAAUAGGGAUAGUUGGGGGCAUUAGUAUUCAAUUGUCAGAGGUGAAAUUCUUGGAUUUAUUGAAGACUAACUACUGCGAAAGCAUUUGCCAAGGAUGUUUUCAUUAAUCAAGAACGAAAGUUAGGGGAUCGAAGACGAUCAGAUACCGUCGUAGUCUUAACCAUAAACUAUGCCGACUAGGGAUCGGAUGAUGUUAAUUUUUAAUGACUCAUUCGGCGCCUUAAC